CUCCCUGGCGGCGUUGUGGGUGGUGGGCUAGGGUGCCUAGGUAAGGGUGGGGUGGUUCCGUGGUUGGCAGGGUGUGGUGGUUGGGGUGCAAACAGAUUUGUUUUAGGUGUGUCGGGCUAGGUCUAGGGGUUGGACGAGAGGAGAGGGUUGGGCUAGGUCUAGGGGGUUGGAGGGGAGGAGAGGGUUGGGUGAGCGGCGGCCGGAGGAAAGGUGGAGGAGAGGAGAGGGAUGGGUGAGCGGCGGCCGCUCGUGAUCCACCUAUCAGGUGGUGAUGUGGCAAACUUCGCCCACCCCUAGCACCCCGACCCGUUGUAGCCGAGCGCGCAGCGGGCCGCAGAGCGGCGGAAGCCAACGCGGCAGAGGAGGUGAGCUCCAGCGGGUUCGGCAGCCGCGGCAUGGGCAAGCAGGGGCGCGACGCGCUGGAGCGGCAGCCGUCGCUGCACGACCACGAGAGGACGCGCGACUGCCUGCUCUCGUUCGUGUACCACUCGGCCCUGCACUACCUCCGCGACCCCUUUCUGCCCCACGACCAGUUGUACCGGCCCCACCCGACCACCUGCUCGGCCUCGACCAGUCCACGGAGGUGCUUCCGCAGUAGCCGCCGCGGCCGGACCUGCACAUGCUCUUGCUCGGCCGGCACGGCGGCCUCGACGAGCGGUACCUGUUGCACCACGACAGCCUGUUGUCCCGGCAGGAGUACUGCCUCAGGUAGCCGCCGCACGAACUUCAGCAGUAGCGGUUGGAGCUGCGGAAGAAGAGCCCCUCCGGUGACCAGUCGGAGCACGUUGAAGUUCGUGUUCUUGAAGAGGUCGAAGUAUACUACCUGGCGCCCUCCAGCAUUUCGCUCGCCACACACGGUACUUGAGACGAAGGAACCGUAGGUUCAAGCACAGGACACCACAGGUAAGAACUAUAUCACGGUACUAAAACGGACAGUAAUGAAAGGCACGAUAAUGUGAAAACAAACAGUAAUGAAAGGCAAGGUGCGGUCGAGUGCGCGUGCCUAGAUAGACGUAUACUAAUUAGGAACUAAAACUCAAUACUAUACAAUACGAUUGUUAAAACACCCUGAUGUCCAAAACUCUAGAAACGAAAGGGUACGUUGGUCAAACCACCCGUCAUUGAACCGUAACUAUUCCUUUAACAAAUCUAACAAAGGUGAGCAAAGGUACGAAUCAUAGACUAAAAACCGUUCCAUUUACACACGUACUAUGAAGGAGGAAAAAACCACAGAGAGAAAGUUCGACUUUCUUUGCUAACGAAAUCACAUGUUACAUGUAAUAAUGACGAAGGUAUUGUCAUUACAUAAAUUAACUCCUUUAUGCUAGGUCGUACAGAACAGAUAAGACAUACGUCAGACUCACUAUAUUCCCACGCAAACCCUCGGUUUCAUAAAAACAUCAAAAAUUCCUUAUGACACCAAAGACUUUCUUUCGAACCAUAAGUUAUGAAACUCAGCAAACCUACUUUUUUUAUGAUGUCAAAUUGUUUGGCACCAUAGGGAUUUUAACACCAGAAAAACAUCAUAUAUUUUUUCUCCAGACCUGGAGAAAAAUUUUUUGACUCUUUGCAACCGACCCAACAGAGAAACAGGUAGAAGGAGACCGGUAGCUACGGAGAGUGUGUAUUUUAGCUAUCGAUCAGCUAGCUAGAUAGGCCAAUCUCCCCGCGUGUCUGUGCAUGUUUACUGCUGAAUCACGGCCGACUUUUGUGUACAGCUGAACGUCGCGUACAGCAUUGAUCGAGACAGAAAGUAACUAAUGUCCUAUAUUGAGAUAUGUCUCUAGGAAGGAUCGUAGAUCCUCUCUUGUACGGGCACGUUUCGGCGUACGUAUCUUUUUGACGGUGAACGGUUUGUGAAUUGCUUUGACCCUUUUAGAUACAAAAAGUAUUUGAUCUCAUAAACAACGGGUAGAUAACUUUAUGACUCCAAAACCUUAUGAUACCAAAACCUUUUUGCCACAACGGUUUGAUCCGGAUUUUGAAAAACCUGAUGGUUACAACAUUUCCAAUUUAAUAAUAUAAAAUUCCAACAUUUCCGACAUACAACACAACCGAUUCUGAUUUCUAACAUUUAAGUAGUAGCAUGGUUACAGUAAGAGAAACGUCUACUAAGAUCUUUGAUAUAAUAGUCAAGUAACGAUGAAACAUACACGGAAUACUAUACAGGAGCAUAUACAGACCUGACUUUAUACUCACAGAACCAGGAAGAAUAUAAUAAAAAAUACUAGAGUCAGUCGGAGAAAGUGUGGGUAACACAACUCCUGGUUACUUUUAUACAAGUAAAACUACAGUAAAAUAAACACUCAUUUAUCUUCAAUUGGACUAAUACACCAACGUACUAAACGGACUAAGACACAAAGAAAACCUGAAAUACAAAAAGAUACUUGAACAGUUUAGAUAUACGCAAGAAUAUAUUAAUAAGAGACGUGAAAGUGAUGAUCCUUUAUAGAAUAUCGAAAUCAACACGUAAUCCCGAAUUUAUUCUUAGAGACCCUUUUUUACAACGUGUAACCGUAGAUGUACAUGACGUAACAAAAGCACGGUAAGAAGACUUCUUAGACUUCAAAGACUUGGAAACAAACAUUACGACGUCCCAAGACCACCGCUACUACUGUCAGCAGCUCUCCAAGCACCUGAACUGCCACAGCACCGACUGUCCAAAGUCUCACGCCCCUCGCCCCGUGCACAUGCUACCGAAUGAGGCAGGCGACCACCGUUCCGUGCUCCUGCUGUAGCUGGCUCGGUCGACCUCGACUUCCGGUCUCGCUCCCUACACUGACGCAGCGUUGAGUUCCACCGCCGACACACAGCAGCGUCGACAUCCGGCACUCUAGUCCGGCCCGUCCGAGGCGCGUAACUGCUCACCAGGUUAAAGGCCUAGCUCAGUAUUGUUGAAUGCAUCCAUCAACGAAUACAUUGACACGCUAUCUUACCUUAAUAUGUACUCAACCACGAUGUUACACCUUAACCUCUUCUACACUUUUGACACACUAUCUUACCUAAACCAACUAAAAAAAUUAAAUAUUAUUCAAUCAUCAUCGCACCCCUAUUUUACCGU
This 3061-nucleotide ribosomal RNA is filed under the name Triticum aestivum (bread wheat). RNAcentral's name for it is "partial small subunit ribosomal RNA". Lineage: Eukaryota; Viridiplantae; Streptophyta; Magnoliopsida; Poales; Poaceae. The record is from RNAcentral.